CCAACAGUCAUGAUAGUGACUUCAUGGCCAGAACCCAGAAGCUCCUUUGCAAAGUAAAACCCAAUAACUGCAUGACCAACAGUGUAAGGACCUUCUUCUUCUCUGCGGCACUGGCCUUGACAGUGAAGGUAGAGGCAGAGGGGCGCCUUGAACAUGUGGGGUAUGUUAAAGAAGUUGGAGAAAUCGAGAGAAAAGAAGAGAAAAGGGAGGACUGA
RNAcentral lists this unclassified non-coding RNA (215 nucleotides) under Hevea brasiliensis (rubber tree). The record is from RNAcentral. Lineage: Eukaryota; Viridiplantae; Streptophyta; Magnoliopsida; Malpighiales; Euphorbiaceae.